This 1853-nucleotide long non-coding RNA is filed under the name Salmo salar (Atlantic salmon). RNAcentral describes it as "lncRNA (ENSSSAG00000099240.1)". The record is from RNAcentral. Lineage: Eukaryota; Metazoa; Chordata; Actinopteri; Salmoniformes; Salmonidae.
CAGACAGAGGAAGAGCCGGAGAUGAAAGGAGAGAAAGGAGGGAACAGAGACGUCGUAAUGAAGGAGUGUCUGCAACAAAAAAAAGGAGCUGCUGUUGUGAAUACACUGCUGCAGUGCCUUUCAGAGGCCUGUAGUUUUAAACUGGUAAUAUUCAUAGAGUCGAGGGGUAGGCAGGACCCGUAUCAAUGCCUCUCUGCCAGAUCAAAACCCUAUGAUCCUCUGGCCACCUCGCUCCUGAAUGUUUUGUUACCUACAGGGACAGCCAAAGAACCUUUAUGGUGAAGAGAAGAAGAGUAGAAAAUAAGGAAGCCAAGAGAGCAGAAGAGAGCGAGAAGUCCCCCUCUGUCCUUUCCUCCUCGGCUACGAAAUGUGCAAAAACAACUGUGCUGGAGGUUAGCGCCGAUACGAUCAGAGGCCAUUUAUUCCAGGCCGUGUGGCUAAUGACCCCUAACUGAUGCUAGCAGUUGCUGGGCCGCGGGACAAGAGAAGAUAAGUAACCUUGUAUAUUACGGUUCGAGGGACCCGAGCUUAGCCUAAUGAGUGUCAAUGGGCAAGUCAGCAUGAGUCAUCCCGUUAGGACUGGGUCGUAUUCAUUAGGGCUACAUCCUCCAGUUAGGACUGGGUCGUAUUCAUUAGGGCUACAUCCUCCCGUUAGGACUGGGUCGUAUUCAUUAGGGCUACAUCAUCCCGUUAGGACUGGGUCGUAUUCAUUAAGGCUACAUCAUCCCGUUAGGACUGGGUCGUAUUCAUUAAGGCUACACCAUCCCGUUAGGACUGGGUCGUAUUCAUUAGGGCUACAUCAUCCCGUUAGGACUGGGUCGUAUUCAUUAGGGCUACAUCCUCCCGUUAGGACUGGGUCGUAUUCAUUAGGGCUACAUCAUCCCGUUAGGACUGGGUCGUAUUCAUUAAGGCUACAUCAUCCCGUUAGGACUGGGUCGUAUUCAUUAGGGCUACAUCAUCCCGUUAGGACUGGGUCGUAUUCAUUAGGGCUACAUCAUCCCGUUAGGACUGGGUCGUAUUCAUUAGGGCUACAUCCUCCCGUUAGGACUGGGUCGUAUUCAUUAGGGCUACAUCCUCCCGUUAGGACUGGGUCGUAUUCAUUAGGGCUACAUCCCGUUAGGACUGGGUCGUAUUCAUUAGGGCUACAUCCCGUUAGGACUGGGUCGUAUUCAUUAGGGCUACAUCCCGUUAGCACUGGGUCGUAUUCAUUAGGGCUACAUCAUCCCGUUAGGAGUGGGUCGUAUUCAUUAGGGCUACAUCAUCCCGUUAGGACUGGGUCGUAUUCAUUAGGGCUACAUCAUCCCGUUAGGACUGGGUCGUAUUCAUUAAGGCUACAUCAUCCCGUUAGGACUGGGUCGUAUUCAUUAGGGCUACAUCCUCCAGUUAGGACUGGGUCGUAUUCAUUAAGGCUACACCAUCCCGUUAGGACUGGGUCGUAUUCAUUAAGGCUACACCAUCCCGUUAGGACUGGGUCGUAUUCAUUAAGGCUACACCAUCCCGUUAGGACUGGGUCGUAUUCAUUAGGGCUACAUCCCGUUAGGACUGGGUCGUAUUCAUUAGGGCUACAUCCCGUUAGCACUGGGUCGUAUUCAUUAAGGCUACACCAUCCCGUUAGGACUGGGUCGUAUUCAUUAGGGCUACAUCAUCCCGUUAGAACUGGGUUGUAUUCAUUAGGGCACACGGUAGCAAAACGUUCUGCAACGGAAAAUUAAGUUCAGGUGGUCCCUUCCUUUUUCAGUCCGCUUUCCUCUGUUUGGUGCCUAAUAAUGAAUACGACCCAGGCAGUCAUAUAGCGUCCCUUCUUCAGAGCUACUUAUCCUCGUACACAGAGGGGGAGACUGAGGGGAGCUUCA